AAGUCGUAACAAGGUUUCCGUAGGUGAACCUGCGGAAGGAUCAUUAUCAAAACAGCGGACUUCGGUCCUUGCUGCACCCUUGUCUUUUGCGCACCGUAUUGUUUCCUCGGCGGGCUUGCCUGCCGGUUGGACAUCAUCAAACCUUUUUGUAGUUGCAAUCAGCGUCAGAAAAAUAACAAUCGUUACAACUUUCAACAACGGAUCUCUUGGUUCUG
Molecule: unclassified non-coding RNA, 215 nt
Filed under: Pyrenochaetopsis leptospora
Lineage: Eukaryota; Fungi; Ascomycota; Dothideomycetes; Pleosporales; Pyrenochaetopsidaceae
Description: partial internal transcribed spacer region
Rfam family: Eukaryotic small subunit ribosomal RNA (bases 1-46)
Source: RNAcentral